AUAUAAUAAGUUAAUAAUUCAUCUUAGUACAAAAAAUUAACGCAGAUUCAAAUUUGAGUGGUCUGGCAACUGUAAAGAUAGCAAACCAAAAAAAAA
Molecule: small RNA, 96 nt
Filed under: Arabidopsis thaliana (thale cress)
Lineage: Eukaryota; Viridiplantae; Streptophyta; Magnoliopsida; Brassicales; Brassicaceae
Description: ATSL145700
Source: RNAcentral